Molecule: long non-coding RNA, 199 nt
Organism: Arachis stenosperma
Lineage: Eukaryota; Viridiplantae; Streptophyta; Magnoliopsida; Fabales; Fabaceae
Exons: 3
Source: RefSeq, a predicted model, not a curated record
UCUACACUAUAUACUGUAUGAAACAUCUACCACCAUCGUCAUCUUCUUCUUCCACCAUUGCCUUCGCUAUCGCAAUUGCUCCGCUGCACUUUCGAUAACGGCCGAAAUUGAUCGAAUUGGACGAUAACCUAAUCCUUGAUUGCAUCUAAUUCUUAUUUGAAGGGAUUAUAUAAUGACAACUGGAUUAACCGAAAACCGG